UAGGGAAUCUUCCGCAAUGGGCGAAAGCCUGACGGAGCAACGCCGCGUGAGUGAUGAAGGUCUUCGGAUCGUAAAACUCUGUUAUUAGGGAAGAACAAAUGUGUAAGUAACUAUGCACGUCUUGACGGUACCUAAUCAGAAAGCCACGGCUAACUACGUGCCAGCAGCCGCGGUAAUACGUAGGUGGCAAGCGUUAUCCGGAAUUAUUGGGCGUAAAGCGCGCGUAGGCGGUUUUUUAAGUCUGAUGUGAAAGCCCACGGCUCAACCGUGGAGGGUCAUUGGAAACUGGAAAACUUGAGUGCAGAAGAGGAAAGUGGAAUUCCAUGUGUGGCGGUGAAAUGCGCAGGGAUAUGGAGGAACACCAGUGGCGAAGGCGACUUUCUGAUCUGUAACUGACGCUGAUGUGCGAAAGCGUGGGGAUCAAACAGG
RNAcentral lists this ribosomal RNA (429 nucleotides) under Actinomycetes bacterium. RNAcentral describes it as "Actinobacteria bacterium partial 16S ribosomal RNA". It matches the Rfam family "Bacterial small subunit ribosomal RNA", at positions 355 to 776 of the family's 1533-position model. Lineage: Bacteria; Bacillati; Actinomycetota; Actinomycetes. The record is from RNAcentral.